Molecule: long non-coding RNA, 495 nt
Organism: Oreochromis niloticus (Nile tilapia)
Lineage: Eukaryota; Metazoa; Chordata; Actinopteri; Cichliformes; Cichlidae
Exons: 3
Source: RefSeq, a predicted model, not a curated record
CAGUGUGUGCAAUAAACCAACCCUCUUAACCCAAAAAAGGAAAAACUCACUUGGCUCCUACAGUGCAGAAGGAGACAACUUUAAAGUGGAGCAGGGAAGAUUAGACAGGAAAGUGGGGAAGGAGAGGAGGGGAAAGCAAAGGUUCGUGCGACAGCAGGUGACAGGUACCAGCAGGCCACUCUGCUGCUCUGGUAGCAGCUGAAGUAAAAAAUCAGCACCGCAAAUCCGCAGAGACCCAACCCUCCCAUCUCCAGGCAGCAUACAAAUGGCUGCUACAUUUUAGUAAUCGCUUCUUUAUUGACAAAUGGCUGUGAAGUGUUCUGGGGCACUGUCUGUCAGUAAUGCUUUUAUUUCUUAUUGAAUUCAAUCCUUUUUUUGCUACUCUGUGAUUCUCAGAGUCAAACAAGUUAAUGUUACUUCAUAUAGCACCGUGUGUGUGUGUGUGUGUGUGUGUCUAUUUUAUCACCAAUUCUUACAUGCAUGCACAUAUAUAAA